Molecule: ribosomal RNA, 253 nt
Filed under: uncultured bacterium
Lineage: Bacteria
Description: partial 16S ribosomal RNA
Rfam family: Bacterial small subunit ribosomal RNA
Source: RNAcentral
UACGUAGGUGGCAAGCGUUGUCCGGAUUUACUGGGCGUAAAGAGCGCGCAGGCGGUCGUUCAAGCCGCGUGUGAAAGCCCCCGGCUCAACUGGGGAGGGUCACGCGAUACUGAUCGACUGGAAGGCAGGAGAGGGUAGUGGAAUUCCCGGUGUAGUGGUGAAAUGCGUAGAUAUCGGGAGGAACACCAGUGGCGAAGGCGACUACCUGGCCUGUUCUUGACGCUGAGGCGCGAAAGCUAGGGGAGCAAACGGG